This is a long non-coding RNA of Sinocyclocheilus grahami, 273 nucleotides long. RefSeq lists it as uncharacterized. The transcript has 3 exons. NCBI's taxonomy places the organism in Eukaryota, Metazoa, Chordata, Actinopteri, Cypriniformes, Cyprinidae. The record is from RefSeq and is a predicted model, not a curated record.
GUUCGAGAGCAGGAAUGCGUCCGGUUGUGACGGGAACUCAAGGAACUGAAACACACCGUGAGCCUCAGGAGAAUCCUGUCUUAUGCAGGUGUGGCCAAAGCUGCAUCCCAGGACCCAACAUCUCCUGCCCCUCAGAAGAGCCAGAUACUACUGGAGUGCAGGAAGAAAGAUGAGAGCAAGCUGAUCAAACACCUCAUAACAGAUGUGAGGGCGGAAGGUGUCUUGUCUUUGUCCCCUGGACUGGCAGAAAGAAGAAAGUCAUAUACACCUAGG